ACCACCUGACCCUUACACUUGACUUUAGUUAAGUAUCUUUUCUUGUCGGAGCAAUACUCAUCUCGAACAAGGCGAGUUGCUAUUAUUCAUCAAGAGAACUAUGGAUUCUUUGCUAGGUUCAAUCACUUCAUGAAAUUUUUAUGCCUUUUGUUCGAAAGUUAUUUCAGAUUAUUUCCUUGAUUUAUAUCAUUAUGGUCUCUCUCCUUUGUAUAUAAUCUCAUC
This 222-nucleotide long non-coding RNA is filed under the name Elaeis guineensis (African oil palm). RNAcentral's name for it is "long non-coding RNA (EGUI_LNC027420)". Lineage: Eukaryota; Viridiplantae; Streptophyta; Magnoliopsida; Arecales; Arecaceae. The record is from RNAcentral.